AUAGAUUAGUAAUAGAUUGAUAGAUGUGUUUAUAAUAAAUUUAAACUACUUCACAUCUACAAAAGUGGAUCUGGCGUAGUGGUAAGGUUUUUGCACGGUGAGGUUUCAAGUUUAAUUCAUAACGAUGAAAAGUUCAAAAUAUUGUGCGCCAAAUAACUUAAUUACGGGCUGGUCCCUUGACUUUUAAAAUUCACGAUUAAAUCUAGUUUGUUAACAACGACUAAAAUAUACAAAUAAAUUUAUUAUAUUUUAGUCGUUGUAUAGGGAAGACCUUGUUGACUCAAUAAUAGACUAAACAACUACCGAUGUUAUUAUGGAAGAUUCAAUCAUGAAAUAUUUCUCAUUUGGACCAAGUUCAAAGAUGAACAAUUUUACAGCAAAAAAGUUAGAGACUGUAUUUUGUGCAGAGUAGAUACUCACAUGUGAUGGAAUCCACAAAAAAUGC
Molecule: long non-coding RNA, 445 nt
Filed under: Actinidia chinensis (golden kiwifruit)
Lineage: Eukaryota; Viridiplantae; Streptophyta; Magnoliopsida; Ericales; Actinidiaceae
Description: long non-coding RNA (ACHI_LNC000163)
Source: RNAcentral